This is a ribosomal RNA of Arabidopsis thaliana (thale cress), 119 nucleotides long. The record is from Rfam. Lineage: Eukaryota; Viridiplantae; Streptophyta; Magnoliopsida; Brassicales; Brassicaceae.
AGAUGUGAUCAUACCAGCACUAAUGCACCGGAUCCCAUCAGAACUCCGAAGUUAAGCGUGAUUGGGCGAGAGUAGUACUAAGAUGGGUGACCUCGAGGAAUGUCCUCGUGUUGCAUGCC